This 961-nucleotide ribosomal RNA is filed under the name uncultured organism. Its description in RNAcentral is "bacterial SSU rRNA". It matches the Rfam family "Bacterial small subunit ribosomal RNA", at positions 470 to 1428 of the family's 1533-position model. The record is from RNAcentral.
UGACGGUACCCUACUAGAAAGGAGCCGCUAACUUCGUGCCAGAAGCGUCGGUAAUACGGGGGCUCCAAGCGUUAUCCGGUGUUAUUGGGCGUAAAGAGUCGUGUAGGUGGUUGGGUAAGUUAUCUUUCAAAUAUCUUUGCUUAACAAAGAGGAGGGGGAUAAUACUGCUCGACUAGAAUUUUCUCAAGGGAGAUCGGAACUGAGGGAGGAGUAGUGAAAUGCGUUGAUACCCUCGGGAACACCAAGUGGCGUAGGCGGAUCUCUGGGAGAAGAUUGACACUGAGACACGAAAGCUAGGGGAGCGAAGCAGAUUAGAGACCUGCGUAGUCCUAGCCGUAAACGCAUGCUUGCUAGCUGCAUGAAUCUACCUUCGGGUGGUAUCGUGUGGCGAAGGUAACCCGUUAAGCAAGCCGCCUGGAAAGUACGGCCGCAAGGCUGAAAUUCAAAGGAAUUGGCGGGGAGGCACACAACCAGUGGAACAUGUGGUUUAAUUCGAGACUAACCGAAGAACCUCACCAGGGUUUGACAUGUAGCUGCACGUCUUAAGAAAUUAAGACUCUCUUGAAGGUGCUACACAGGUGCUGCAUGGCUGUCGUCAGCUCGUUCCGUGAGGAGUGCCCUUAAGUGGGACAACGAGCGCAACCCCUAUUACAUGUUAGAAAUGUCAUGUAAGACUGCCUUGCCAUUUGGCGGGGAGGAAGGAGGGGCAGACGUCAAGUCCGCAUGGUCCUUAUGCCCUGGGCUACACACAUGUUACAAUGAGUACGGCAAUGAGUCUGUCGCGAGCACGUAAGUGUAAGCUAAUCUCUUAAAUGUACUCUCAGUGGGGAUUGAGGUCUGCAACUCGACCUCAUGAACACGGAAUUGGUAGUAAUCGCGGGUCAGCUAUACCGCGGUGAUACGUUCUUGCCUCUUGCACACACCGCCCGUCAAACCAGCAAAGUCGAUUGUAUCCGAACCU